UAAUUGGUGUUUUUUAACACCAUACUUUGAUACCUGAGAAUGAAA
This is a non-coding RNA of Capsicum annuum, 45 nucleotides long. NCBI's taxonomy places the organism in Eukaryota, Viridiplantae, Streptophyta, Magnoliopsida, Solanales, Solanaceae. The record is from Rfam.